RNAcentral lists this transfer RNA (76 nucleotides) under Sphaerodactylus townsendi. RNAcentral's name for it is "tRNA-Ala". The record is from RNAcentral. Lineage: Eukaryota; Metazoa; Chordata; Lepidosauria; Squamata; Sphaerodactylidae.
GGAUGACUGUGGCUCAGAUGGGGAGAACAUUUGCUUUGCAUGCAGAAGGCUACAGGUUUGAUCCCUGGCACCUCCA